Lethenteron reissneri (Far Eastern brook lamprey) is the source of this 2295-nucleotide long non-coding RNA. RefSeq lists it as uncharacterized. The record is from RefSeq and is a predicted model, not a curated record. NCBI's taxonomy places the organism in Eukaryota, Metazoa, Chordata, Hyperoartia, Petromyzontiformes, Petromyzontidae.
CUCAUCACUUUCCCAGCACACACACGCUCGGUUUAGCCAGCUUCGGCACUCGGCACCCGAACGAACGUCGCACGGCCCAAGAAAACAAAAAGACAAAAGCUGCGAAUGGGCUCGCGUGACAUGGUGCCCCCCGCACGUCACUCGGAAACCCACGGGGGUUCCUUUCCCACCCACGACGUCGCCAACAAAGAAGGAGCCGAAAUGGAUGGGGGUGCACCCAGCAUUCAUUCUGAAUCAGAGGGUGUCUACCAGCCUCGCCUGCAGUGCAGUCUCGCCUCUAAUCUAAGUUGUCUUGUGGUUGUUGUUGUUUGACUUGCAUCCCACUGGGAUUUUUGCACACAGCGUUGGUGUACGGUGCUUUUUUCUGCAAUAUUUUGCUGUCUUUUCUUGGAUUUUCUGUUUGCACUUAGUAACAUAUUCACUUUAAGAUGUUUUUUGUUCAUGUUUUAGUUUUUUGUUUGUUGCGGUUGCACCCGAUUCAAGAACCGAAUGGCUCACAGGGCUAUACCUAAUACAUGAACUUGAACUCGACCCCUGUAAUUCCAUUCUCUGCGAGUCAUCAUCAAACAACAUCCUCAAAUCUACAAAGCUAUCAACCCCUUAUCAGUGCCCUGGCUUAGUACAGACCGUUUCAGACCUUAUUGGUCACCCCGUGCCCCGUAUAAAUAUCAACGUUCAUCCCAAGCUGUAGCCAUGGAGUCAACAUUGGGGGGGGGACCCAAAUGUUCCAGGAGGUCUGGGGACCCCCCCCCCCCAGAAAAAAAAAUCUAAAUUUGAAAACUCAUUUCCUGCCUAAAAUAUUUAAAAAAAUUCACCAACACAUGGGAUGGACUUUUUAUUUAUUUUUAACAAUAAUGUCUAAUAGUGUAUUGUAUUACAUUGCUGUUUUUUCUUUUUUUACCUUUUCUUGUUUCGUUGCGUGUAAUGGCAGAGAUUAAGGAUUUAUAAAGUACAACCAUAACCACAAUCAUAGAAAUAGAAAUAUAUUUUAUAGCAAUAUAUUGGGGGGGACAUUUUGAGCAUAUUUGUAUAUACACCACGCUACACAAUACACUACACCACAGCACAAACUACACUAUACACAACACUAUAGACUACACUAUACACCACACCACUACACACUAUACUACACACUACACUAAUUUACACUACAUUGUUAAAGCCUCAUGUCGGUUCUUUGCUGUCGGUCCCCUCGGUGUGGAAACUCUCUAAUCCCGUGGCACAUCUGCGACAGGAAAUGCACUGUGACUUCUAAGAAACAUCCGAAGGUUUCUCUCUCUGUCUGGGUCAGACUUUCGAGUUUGACCCCGCACCUCUUGAGUUGUUCAAUUGUCUACACAUUUUGCCAGGUUAUGACAUCGUUAUUAAAUCCUUUAUAUUAAGUUCGCUUGCUUGCUUAGGACCGUGCAAAUAUUUCGGUCGUUUUUUAACCCACUUCCCGUGAUCCAAUCGAGCUGACAUUUUGCACACAGACUCGUUGUGCGUGACAAUUAAUUUUCGUGAAAAAUGUUUUCCAAAAUUUUACACUGUUUAGGGAAUUUUUUUAAAAUAUUUAAUUACCAAUUGUUUAAUGCUGCCAGACAAUCAUCUGACCCAUAGGUGGCAGCCAUCUCAAGCCAGAGGACGAGAGGACUCUAGCCGCCCCGAUGCCACGCAUAUAAAGGAUUUAUAGGGAAAAACUUUGUUUUUACGGGUUAAUUUUUUGUUGUUGUAUGUUUGUGUUCUUGUGUUGCACCAUGCGUCGCCCCACGUGCUCACGAGGUUGUGUCGGGGAAUUCAAGUGAGCAGGCGAUUGGCUCAGCUCUGCGACAUCGGCUGGCCAAUGUACAGAAUAGCCCAAAAGUCAGGACCACAUACAGUUAUUACAUUUGUUUCUUGCAGCACCAGCUUUCACAUAUUUUUAAUGUUUAUUCUUUGAGUUAAUGUUUUAUAGAUCGUCAUUAAUAUCUAUUUUUGUUGUUCCUUUUCAGAUGACUCUUUAAAAAAUAAAAAUAUACCCAAAGACCAAUGAGUUGAAUUCAUUUCACAAACGCAUGCUAAAGAAGGCAGCUGUCAUUAACAGAAACAAUCCUACAUUCGUUUCAAAAGAUAAUUCAUGCAUGCAUUAAUGUCAAUGGUCGUCAAUUUGAACAUUUGCUCAAAUUAAUUAGAUAACCCACACCUACGAUUAGCAAGGUUGCCUAGUUAUGGUGUGAAAUAAGUUCAACAUACGUACACACAACCCUUUGUGAUUUGCUAAAAUAAAUAUACAGGUGUGUGCCCUACCUAACUUUUGGGCCACCUUGUUAAAUAUUG